RNAcentral lists this ribosomal RNA (492 nucleotides) under uncultured bacterium. Its description in RNAcentral is "partial 16S ribosomal RNA". It matches the Rfam family "Bacterial small subunit ribosomal RNA", at positions 29 to 507 of the family's 1533-position model. The record is from RNAcentral.
AGUGAACGCUGGCGGUAGGCCUAACACAUGCAAGUCGAACGGCAGCACAGUAAGAGCUUGCUCUUACGGGUGGCGGGUGGCGGACGGGUGAGGAAUACAUCGGAAUCUACUUUUUCGUGGGGGAUAACGUAGGGAAACUUACGCUAAUACCGCAUACGACCUACGGGUGAAAGCAGGGGAUCUUCGGACCUUGCGCGAUUGAAUGAGCCGAUGUCGGAUUAGCUAGUUGGCGGGGUAAAGGCCCACCAAGGCGACGAUCCGUAGCUGGUCUGAGAGGAUGAACAGCCCAAAUGGAAAUGAGAACAGGUCCAAACUCCCAAGGGGGGCCGCCGGGGGGAAUAUUGGACAAUGGGCGCAAGCCUGAUCCAGCCAUACCGCGUGGGUGAAGAAGGCCUUCGGGUUGUAAAGCCCUUUUGUUGGGAAAGAAAAGCAGCAGGUUAAUACCCCGCUGUUCUGACGGUACCCAAAGAAUAAGCACCGGCUAACUUCGUG